CCUACGGGUGGCAGCAGUGAGGAAUAUUGGUCAAUGGGCGCGAGCCUGAACCAGCCAAGUAGCGUGAAGGAUGACUGCCCUACGGGUUGUAAACUUCUUUUAUAAAGGAAUAAAGUGAGGCACGAGUGCCUUUUGGAAUGUACGUUAUGAAUAAGGAAAGGCUAACUCCGGGACAGCAGCCGCUGUAAUACGGAGGAUCCGAGCGUUAUCCGGAUUUAUUGGGUUGAAAGGGAGCGUAGAUGGGUUGUUAAGUCAGUUGUGAAAGUUUGCGGCUCAACCGUAAAAUUGCAAUUGAUACUGGCAGUCUUGAGUGCAGGUGAGGUAGGCGGAAUUCGUGGUGUAGCGGUGAAAUGCUUAGAUAUCACGAAGAACUCCUAUUGCGAAGGCAGCUUACUAAACUGCCACUGACAUUGAUGCUCGAAAGUGUGGGUAUCAAACAGGAUUAGAUACCCUGGUAGUC
This 460-nucleotide ribosomal RNA is filed under the name uncultured bacterium. RNAcentral's name for it is "partial 16S ribosomal RNA". It matches the Rfam family "Bacterial small subunit ribosomal RNA", at positions 338 to 795 of the family's 1533-position model. The record is from RNAcentral.